CGCGGCGUAGCUCAGUAGUAGAGCAGCGGGCUCAUAACCCGAAGGCCCCUGGUGCAACUCCAGGCGUCCGCGA
Molecule: transfer RNA, 73 nt
Filed under: Actinomadura sp. KC216
Lineage: Bacteria; Bacillati; Actinomycetota; Actinomycetes; Streptosporangiales; Thermomonosporaceae
Description: tRNA-Met
Rfam family: tRNA
About the family: Transfer RNA (tRNA) molecules are approximately 80 nucleotides in length. Their secondary structure includes four short double-helical elements and three loops (D, anti-codon, and T loops).
Source: RNAcentral